This 478-nucleotide ribosomal RNA is filed under the name uncultured Caldisericales bacterium. RNAcentral describes it as "bacterial SSU rRNA". It matches the Rfam family "Bacterial small subunit ribosomal RNA", at positions 924 to 1382 of the family's 1533-position model. Lineage: Bacteria; Pseudomonadati; Caldisericota; Caldisericia; Caldisericales. The record is from RNAcentral.
CACAAGCAGCGAGGCAUGUGGUUUAAUUCGAGGCUAUACGAAGAACCUUACCUGGGCUUGACAUGUAUGUGAAAGAGUUUAAGAAACUAACUCCCUCUUAUGUAGCAAUACAUAAGACACUUACACAGGUGGUGCAUGGUUGUCGUCAGCUCGUGCCGUGAGGUGUAAGGUUAAGUCCUUGAACGAGCGCAACCCUCUCUGUUAUUUGCCCUAAGUCCUUAGGGGCUUAGCACUAUAACAGGACCGCUACCGACAAGGUAGAGGAAGGUGAGGAUGACGUCAAAUCAUCACGCCCCUUAUGUCCAGGGCUACACACAUGCGACAAUGGUUGGUACAGAGGGAAGCAAUGGAGUAAUCCGGAGCAAAUCCCCAAAACCAGCCCCAGUACUGAUCGAGGGUUGAAACCCACCCUCGUGAAGAUGGAGUUGCUAGUAAACGCAGGUCAGCCAUACUGCGUUCGAAUACGUUCCCGGGCCUU